UUAGUUUAACUCUAUCUAAGAGAUUAGUAUUUCUAAAAAACCUUAUGCUUAACAUAAGUAAAUCCAUAAUUAAUUACUAUAUUACAUGCUUAAAUAUAUAUAUGUAUACUUAGCAGAAGUUGAAAUUAUAAUAAUGCGUUAAAGCGUGAAAUGGUUUAAAAACUUUUAUCGGUAUAAUUUGUGCCAGCAACAGCGGUUAAACAAUAAAUAUCUAACAACUAAAAUCUGUAAAGAUAAAAUAUAUAAGAAUUAAAGGUAAAAUUUCUUUAAUCCUUUAAGUACUAAUAUUAUCAUAAACAAACUAUAAACUAAAACAAGGAUUAGAUACCCUUCUAUUAUUAGCUUAAAAUAAGAUUGGAGACUACAAGCAAUAGCUUAAAAACCCAAGAAUUUGGCGGUGUUUUAUUCAAUCAGGGGGACCUGUACUUUAAAUCGACAACCCACGCUAAACUCUAUCUAAUUUUAAUAUUUUAGCUUGUAUACUGCCGUUUAAUAAGCUCUUUUAGGCUUUCUUAUAAUUAAUAAAAAAAUUUCAAGUCAGGUCAUAGUGCAGCUUAUAUUUAGAUAGUAUAUGGGUCACAUAUUUAAAGAAUAAAAUUAAAAUUACAAGUUAAUUUUUGUAAUAAUUAGGACUUGAUAGUAAUUAUAGAAUUAUUUAUACUAUAAUGAAUAUGAACUUAAAACAAGCACACAUCGCCCGUCACUCCUUUAUAUAGGAUAAGUCGUAACAUAGUUGAUGUAAUGGAAAUUGCAUCUGU
This 758-nucleotide ribosomal RNA is filed under the name Orobdella mononoke. RNAcentral describes it as "12S ribosomal RNA". The record is from RNAcentral. Lineage: Eukaryota; Metazoa; Annelida; Clitellata; Hirudinida; Orobdellidae.